UUUCCUUAGAGUUUGAUCCUGGCUCAGGACGACCGCUGGCGAUGUGCUUAACACAUGCAAGUCGAACGGAAAGGCCCCGCUCGCGGGGUACUCGAGUGGCGAACGCGUGAGUAACACGUGGGUGAUCUGCCCUGCACUUCGGGAUAAGCCUGGGAAACUGGGUCUAAUACCGGAUAUGACCUCCCUUUAGUGUGGGGGGUGGAAAGAUUUAUCGGUGCAGGAUGAGCCCGCGGCCUAUCAGCUUGUUGGUGGGGUAAUGGCCUACCAAGGCGUCGACGGGUAGCCGGCCUGAGAGGGUGGACGGCCACAUUGGGACUGAGAUACGGCCCAGACUCCUACGGGAGGCAUCAGUGGGGAAUAUUGCACAAUGGGCGGAAGCCUGAUGCAGCGACGCCGCGUGGGGGAUGACGGCCUUCGGGUUGUAAACCUCUUUCGACAGGGACGGAGUGAAAAUGACGGUACCUGUAUAAGAAGCACCGGCUAACUACGUGCCAGCAGCCGCGGUAAUACGUAGGGUGCGAGCGUUGUCCGGAAUUACUGGGCGUAAAGAGCUCAUAGGUGGUUUGUCACGUCGUCUGUGAAAUUCCGGGGCUUAACCUCGGGCGUGCAGGCGAUACGGGCAAUACUUGAGUGCUGUAGGGGAGACUGGAAUUCCUGGUGUAACGGUGAAAUGCGCAGAUAUCAGGAGGGACACCAAUGGCGAAGGCAGUCUCUGGGCAGUUACUGACGCUGAGGAGCGAAAGCAUGGGUAGCGAACAGGAUUAGAUACCCUGGUAGUCCAUGCCGUAAACGGUGGGCGCUAGGUGUAGGGGACUUCCACGUUCUCUGUGCCGUAGCUAACGCAUUAAGCGCCCCGCCUGGGGAGUACGGCCGCAAGGCUAAAACUCAAAGGAAUUGACGGGGGCCCGCACAAGCGGCGGAGCAUGUGGAUUAAUUCGAUGCAACGCGAAGAACCUUACCUGGGCUUGACAUACACCGGACCGGCGUAGAGAUACGUCUUCCCUUGUGGCCGGUGUACAGGUGGUGCAUGGUUGUCGUCAGCUCGUGUCGUGAGAUGUUGGGUUAAGUCCCGCAACGAGCGCAACCCUUGUCUUAUGUUGCCAACACGUGAUGGUGGGGACUCAUGAGAGACUGCCGGGGUCAACUCGGAGGAAGGUGGGGAUGACGUCAAAUCAUCGUGCCCCUUAUGUCCAGGGCUUCACACAUGCUACAAUGGUCGGUACAGCAGGUCGCGAACUCGUGAGAGUAAGCCAAUCCUUCAAAGCCGGCCUCAGUUCGGAUUGGGGUCUGCAACUCGACCCCAUGAAGUCGGAGUCGCUAGUAAUCGCAGAUCAGCAACGCUGCGGUGAAUACGUUCCCGGGCCUGUACACACCGCCCGUC
This 1381-nucleotide ribosomal RNA is filed under the name uncultured bacterium. Its description in RNAcentral is "16S ribosomal RNA". It matches the Rfam family "Bacterial small subunit ribosomal RNA". The record is from RNAcentral.